AAUAUUGGACAAUGGGGGAAACCCUGAUCCAGCCAUGCCGCGUGUGUGAAGAAGGUCNNNGGAUUNUCAAGCACUUUAAGUUGNGAGNAAGGGUUGUUGGCUAAUAUCCAGCAUUUUUGACGUUACCGACAGAAUAAGCACCGGCUAACUUCGCGCCAGCAGCCGCGGUAAUACGAAGGGUGCAAGCGUUAAUCGGAAUUACUGGGCGUAAAGCGGGCGUAGGUGGUUCGUUAAGUUGGAAGUGAAAGCCCCGGGCUUAACCUGGGAAUUGCUUUCAAAACUGACGAGCUAGAGUACGGUAGAGGGUAGUGGAAUUUCCUGUGUAGCGGUGAAAUGCGUAGAUAUAGGAAGGAACAUCAGUGGCGAAGGCGACUACCUGGACUGAUACUGACACUGAGGUGCGAAAGCGUGGGGAGCAAACA
This 422-nucleotide ribosomal RNA is filed under the name uncultured bacterium. RNAcentral describes it as "partial 16S ribosomal RNA". It matches the Rfam family "Bacterial small subunit ribosomal RNA", at positions 360 to 774 of the family's 1533-position model. The record is from RNAcentral.